Molecule: ribosomal RNA, 468 nt
Filed under: uncultured bacterium
Lineage: Bacteria
Description: partial 16S ribosomal RNA
Rfam family: Bacterial small subunit ribosomal RNA
Source: RNAcentral
GACGAACGCUGGCGGCGUGCUUAACACAUGCAAGUCGAACGGAAAGGCCCUGCUUUUGUGGGGUGCUCGAGUGGCGAACGGGUGAGUAACACGUGAGUAACCUGCCCUUGACUUUGGGAUAACUUCAGGAAACUGGGGCUAAUACCGGAUAGGAGCUCCUGCUGCAUGGUGGGGGUUGGAAAGUUUCGGCGGUUGGGGAUGGACUCGCGGCUUAUCAGCUUGUUGGUGGGGUAGUGGCUUACCAAGGCUUUGACGGGUAGCCGGCCUGAGAGGGUGACCGGCCACCUUGGGCCUGAGAUAGGGCCCAGACUCCUACGGGAGGCAGCGGUGGGGAAUAUUGCACAAUGGGCGGAAGCCUGAUGCAGCAACGCCGCGUGCGGGAUGACGGCCUUCGGGUUGUAAACCGCUUUCGCCUGUGACGAAGCGUGAGUGACGGUAAUGGGUAAAGAAGCACCGGCUAACUACGUG